Molecule: ribosomal RNA, 572 nt
Filed under: Trichoderma viride
Lineage: Eukaryota; Fungi; Ascomycota; Sordariomycetes; Hypocreales; Hypocreaceae
Description: partial 28S ribosomal RNA
Source: RNAcentral
CGGGGAUACGUAAUAACUUAUAGGGAGAAGCCUUUCAAGUCCCCUACGAAUAUUCUCUGCGAAUAGGCUGGUCGUCCGGGAUUUUUCACGUGAAGGGGGCAUUUUCGGUUUUGGGGUUUGCGGGGGGGAGCCGGCGGUUGGGGGGGGUUGGAAAAAAAACGGGAAGGAGAGUGGGGAAAACCCCCUUUUUUUUUGGGGCCGGGCCCCCGUUUAGGGUUCCCAAACCCCCCCCCCGAACCCCGGGGGGGUUUGGGGUGAAAAAGACCCGGGAAAACUCCCCCCCCAAAAAGAGGGGGGGAAGGGGGAAAAAAAACGAAAAACAAAAAUUGAAAAAAAAAAAUUUGGGGUUUGGGGGGCUUUCCCAGGGAAAAAAAGAGAGAGGGGGUGAAGUAGGAGAAUUAUGAAAGUGCCACCGAGAAAAAAAAAACCCGGGGGAAACAAAAAAAAUGUUUUUUUUCGCCCCGCGCGCGGGCGUGGGGGGGCACCGCACGGGGCCCCCCCCAGAAAAAAAGUGGAUAAAAAAAUUUGUUGGAGAAAUAUGUGAGUAUCCACCCUCUUUUUUAGCAAAAAAA